GAUGAAGAACGUAGCGAAAUGCGAUAAGUAGUGUGAAUUGCAGAAUUCAGCGAAUCAUCGAAUCUUUGAACGCACAUUGCGCCCCAUGGUAUUCCGUGGGGCAUGCCUGUUCGAGCGUCAUUUACCCCCUCAAGCUCCGCUUGGUGUUGGGCGUCUGUCCCGCUUCGCGCGCGGACUCGCCCCAAAGGUAUUGGCAGCGGUCGUGCCAGCUUCUCGCGCAGCACAUUGCGCUUCUCGAGGCACCGGUGGGCCCGCGUCCAUCAAGCUCACCCCCCCAGUUUGACCUCGGAUCAGGUAGGGAUACCCGCUGAACUUAAGCAUAUCAAUAAGCGGAGGA
RNAcentral lists this unclassified non-coding RNA (337 nucleotides) under soil metagenome. Its description in RNAcentral is "partial contains 5.8S ribosomal RNA, internal transcribed spacer 2, and large subunit ribosomal RNA". The stretch from base 1 to 120 matches the Rfam family "5.8S ribosomal RNA", at positions 35 to 154 of the family's 154-position model. The record is from RNAcentral.